GACACGCAGACUAGUCGCGCGCUGAGUAGUGGAGGAGGCAGGACUGUGUGGAACGCGAGCUGCUGUUCCCGUCUUUGUUUUCACUCACGCCGCUUCUGAACCGAGUCAAGAAAGCGUCGAAAUCCAGAAUUUAGUUGAGCCUUUCGUUUUGCGAGUGUUUGGCUGAUGAGGUCUAUGGGCAUCAUCAUGGUCCCUGCAGCAGUUCUGAAGCUGUACGCCAUCGGAACGCUACUUUCUGUCAUCGCAGUCCUGUUUGAGCUAGGGAACUCCGUGGGUGGGCUCAUGUACUCCCCGGACUACCGCUACAUCAGUGAACCGAACCAUCAGACGCACGGGGAGCUCCACUCCUGCRAGCACCUGCAGCGACGGUCUGUAAAUAAAAACGUCGGCUCCUGAGGGACUGGUCAAAGCUGAACUUAAAAGGAUUGCCGGGAAAAGAACGGGACCCUCGACAGGAAACUGUUGCAGCUAAUCUGUUUCAGAGGAACUACGUGUAAUCGAAUGUUACAGCACUACUGAAGAAUUUGCACUAAAUGGGUUCCUGAAUGAAAGGACGGAUCAGAAAAAGAACAGUUACUUUUGGCUUUCCGAGUCCACUCGAUGGACCGGUCCUGACAAAUCAGAGCCAUAUGGAAAGAUAAGGAGAAUCUGGGUGUGCAACAGCAGCUACAAAUGACAUGUAAUGGCUUUAAUUAUUUGUGAUGAAAGGAAUGUAGUUCAAAGGAAUGACGGAAAGCUGGACGACGGUGUUUAAUAGAACCUUUUGAUUUGUUGCCCAGCCUUUCCCACCUACGCCAGACAUGUAAAGAAAUGAGUACUUAGAAUAAUAAAACUUGUGUAGUGUGUCAUCGCUUGCUAAACUUCUGACACAACUCUUGACAUCUCAGCUGAUUUUAUGCCAAACUUUAGCUUUACUUUGGAAUAAAAAAAGAAAUGGUAUCUGUCGCCAAGUGUUUUCCUUUUCAAAAUAAAUGUGUUUUAACUGGA
Molecule: long non-coding RNA, 987 nt
Organism: Austrofundulus limnaeus
Lineage: Eukaryota; Metazoa; Chordata; Actinopteri; Cyprinodontiformes; Rivulidae
Exons: 2
Source: RefSeq, a predicted model, not a curated record